UAUAUGAUCACCCUGUUUGCAAGUGCAGCUGAGUGUGGCGACGCCGAUCCGAUCCCCGCGCAAUGGCGCAACGCGGAAGGAUGAGCAUCCGAUUCGAGGCAGGUUGGGACAGGACCGAGAGAAAAGGGAGCGCAUUCUUUGAUAAGAUUUACCGACACCGUACUGAUAAUCUGAGCAUUAAAAUAAAAACACAUCCCAAAUUGGUACAAGAUUCAGUUCUAGCCAACGCCAACCUCUAGUGAGAUUGUGGCCACCGCUCAUUGCCCCUUGUUUGCACUAGCAUCCCAUAGAUGUCGCUAAUAAAUUGGCGAAACGACUUCCGAAGCAGGCAAUUGGAAUGAGAACUUAUUAAUUCAAUAAAUUCGAUUGGUACCACAAUUGUUCAGCACGGACGGUCCCUGCUGCUCUCCCUGUACGACACAACUACUACUAGUAACCGAAAAGAUGCAGUCCCAAAUAAUGCGGAGAUGGAUAAAGUAAACAGGAAUUGG
This is a long non-coding RNA of Anopheles stephensi (Asian malaria mosquito), 491 nucleotides long. RefSeq lists it as uncharacterized. The transcript is spliced from 3 exons. The record is from RefSeq and is a predicted model, not a curated record. NCBI's taxonomy places the organism in Eukaryota, Metazoa, Arthropoda, Insecta, Diptera, Culicidae.